AAUGAAAGAGGAACAGAGAGAAAGGCAGGUGCGCAUCGUGAUGCUCAGUCGCUAGUUUAGAGAGUUAAAGCCAACAAACUGUUAGGAUUGCAAUCACAGCAUCCUCAGAGAAGGCAGUUUGACUGAAUCCUAUCAGAUGACAGGAAGAUGUGGUGUGAUUACUUCAGAGUUUGACAGAACUUUAUGAUGUGCGUCAUUGAAGAAACAACCACACACAUACAUACAACAUCACACGCUACUGCAUGAACAUUUACAGUAACAUCUAACUUAAUCUGAUCACUUGCUUUUACACAAUCACUCAUUAUACAUUAUACAUUCAUUGCAAAUGAAGAUCCCGGCAAAUGUUGCACACUGGCUGAUGACAUCACUACUAUUGAUCGACUGCUGAAGUGAUCGCUGGACCUUCUGUUUAUGAGGUGGAUUUUUCUGUGAAACUAUUGGGACUUAUU
Danio rerio (zebrafish) is the source of this 449-nucleotide non-coding RNA. The record is from Ensembl. Lineage: Eukaryota; Metazoa; Chordata; Actinopteri; Cypriniformes; Danionidae.